CAUGAAGAUCAACGAACUGGCGGGGACCAAUCGUCAUUGGGGUGAUAUAAAUACACAGACUAAUCAGCCCGCAUGAGACGCAGGUGUGCGCCCUAAUCAGCGCACCCGCGCAGGCACCCGCACAGCUCGUGCUGGAGCGGCAGGAUCAUCACAGUUCUAUGUGCAAUGCAAACCAUACAAGAUAAAUAAUAUGCACCUGCGUAUCAUCUCAAAGCCAAAAGGGGCACGACUGCUCCUGCAAAUUGAGGACCUCACCCGCCUGUUCAAUCCCCUUCCUCCACUAGGGUCAUUAUGGUGACAACAUCCUCACUCGCCAUUGGCAAAGCAGUACAUGAGAUAAAGACUUGCCUAUGUCGGCAAGCAUUGUAGGCGAGCGCACAUAAGUGGGGAGAAAAAAAAAAAAAAAGCAACAACCUGCAGACCAGCUGAUUGUGACAACUUGGAACGCAAUUCCCGUCACAUACCACACUAUUGCGGCGCUGCAUGAAGUUUAAUUUAAAGAAGUAUGAAACAGACGACAAAGCCAUCAGCAAAGAAGUCCCAUUAAUGAGACCCAGAUCAGCUAGCUGUCUUUGGACUGAAGUAGUAUGCGGUGCUCACCAUGUACCAGAUCCCCAAGACGAUGGUUCCGGUGCGGACAUGACAGCAAAAGCAGCAGUUUGUGGAGUACCACAGGUCCC
Molecule: long non-coding RNA, 680 nt
Organism: Syngnathoides biaculeatus (alligator pipefish)
Lineage: Eukaryota; Metazoa; Chordata; Actinopteri; Syngnathiformes; Syngnathidae
Exons: 6
Source: RefSeq, a predicted model, not a curated record